This is a long non-coding RNA of Sitophilus oryzae (rice weevil), 819 nucleotides long. RefSeq lists it as uncharacterized. Lineage: Eukaryota; Metazoa; Arthropoda; Insecta; Coleoptera; Curculionidae. The transcript is spliced from 2 exons. The record is from RefSeq and is a predicted model, not a curated record.
CUGAUAACCUAAAUAAUUGUGAUUUUAGACCUGAGAUCAAGUUAUUUACCUUCUACUGAUAAGAAAAAUAUACUUGGAAAAAUUCGUGAUUACAACAAACCAUUGCACACAUUGCAAGAAGAUUACUAUUCGGAGUUGUAUGAUGACGAUAGGAGUCCUACAGGAAAAUGGACUAACUCCAGGACUACAAACGGAUUUGACGAACUCUAUGAUAAGAAUAAAGAUUUGGAAAAUAAUAUUCAAGAUUUGCAAAUUGAAAUCAUACAGCUUCAAUUCAGACUGCAGCAGCUUCAGCUUCAACAGCAACUCCUUCGCCAAGAGAAGCAACGACUCACUGUCAACUUGAGACUCAGCUUCAGACGAGGAGUUUGGAGCAACGAUUUGAAGCGAGAACUUCAGAAAAUCGCCGGUGAAGAAGUUAGAGCUUUGGAAGAACGUUUGAGCUUGAGCUUGAGAGUUAGAAGACUCCAGGAUAACAUAGUUAAACAGCUUGAAGAAGCAGAACGAAACUUGAAGAAGGAAUCCUGGAUUCAGGAAAAUUACUACGAAAAUUAUUGAGUCUUUUUACAUAUAUUUUUUGGUAUUUUUAAUGAAUCACUAAUUAUUAAUGAAUAGUUUUAUAGUAUAAGUGUAUUAUGUUAAUUAUUAAAUAUUGGACAUCGAUUAUUAUUGGUAUAAUUUAGGCAAAUUGGAGAGCUGAUAGACUCAAAUUUAUUAAAUCGAAAUAUUCUAUGUAUUUCCGAAGAAGAUAAAUAGAUUUUAAGAUUAAACUGUAGCCAAAUUUGAAGAAAAUAAAGAUUGAUAGGUAUAUUAAUACAA